CAUUUAUCCAUCUAUCUAUCCAUCCAUCCAUUCAUCCAUCCAUCCAUCCAUCCAUCCAUCCAUCCAUCCAUCCAUCCAAUCAGCCAUGGUCUAUUCUCCCAUUUAUUCUACAAAUAUGAUCUAUCAUCUGUUCUGUGGCAGGCACCAGAUGCCAGAUGCCAGGAAUAGAGCAAUGACAGCCAUGGUCACUGCCUUCUCAGUGUGCUGAGUGGACAUUGCAGGCCCCCUUGGAUAAAGGCAGGUCCGUGGGCCCCAUAGGUCCAAGGUGGAGCCGAUUUCCUCUGCAGGGAGUCUUCAGCGAGUGAGAAGUGAGGAGGAUGAUAGAAGACAGACUGGCCUUUCAUCUGGGCUUGACAUCUGCCCUGCAAAUUGUCACAGAAUGAUGAUGUGGUGGAACCAGUGGCCUGAUGGGCAUCGUCCUCAGUGGCCGGUCAUGGAGCACCCAGGGAAUUGCCAGAGGGUGUCACCGCAUCCCCCAGGAGUUGGAGCACCCCUCCUCUGGCCCAUCUUCCUUCUCCAUUCUCCAGAAUGAGGCCUCUCUCCUCCAACAGUCACUAUUAUGUCGGCAAGGAGGCCUGUGCUCAUUAACCUGUAUUGCCAGAGCAGAGACUGCGAAACCACUGGUGAAUAAACCUGCCCCAGCUGCC
RNAcentral lists this long non-coding RNA (647 nucleotides) under Rhinopithecus bieti (black snub-nosed monkey). RNAcentral describes it as "lncRNA (ENSRBIG00000045301.1)". Lineage: Eukaryota; Metazoa; Chordata; Mammalia; Primates; Cercopithecidae. The record is from RNAcentral.